Molecule: ribosomal RNA, 496 nt
Filed under: uncultured bacterium
Lineage: Bacteria
Description: partial 16S ribosomal RNA
Rfam family: Bacterial small subunit ribosomal RNA
Source: RNAcentral
ACGAACGCUGGCGGCGUGCCUAAUACAUGCAAGUAGAACGCUGAAGAGAGGAGCUUGCUCUUCUUGGAUGAGUUGCGAACGGGUGAGUAACGCGUAGGUAACCUACCUUGUAGCGGGGGAUAACUAUUGGAAACGAUAGCUAAUACCGCAUAACAAUGGAUGACACAUGUCAUUUAUUUGAAAGGGGCAAUUGCUCCACUACAAGAUGGACCUGCGUUGUAUUAGCUAGUAGGUGAGGUAAUGGCUCACCUAGGCGACGAUACAUAGCCGACCUGAGAGGGUGAUCGGCCACACUGGGACUGAGACACGGCCCAGACUCCUACGGGAGGCAGCAGUAGGGAAUCUUCGGCAAUGGGGGCAACCCUGACCGAGCAACGCCGCGUGAGUGAAGAAGGGUUUCGGAUCGUAAAGCUCUGUUGUAAGUCAAGAACGGGUGUGAGAGUGGAAAGUUCACACUGUGACGGUAGCUUACCAGAAAGGGACGGCUAACUACGUG